This 676-nucleotide ribosomal RNA is filed under the name Sarocladium spinificis. Its description in RNAcentral is "partial large subunit ribosomal RNA". It matches the Rfam family "Eukaryotic large subunit ribosomal RNA", at positions 76 to 781 of the family's 3401-position model. Lineage: Eukaryota; Fungi; Ascomycota; Sordariomycetes; Hypocreales; Sarocladiaceae. The record is from RNAcentral.
UGCCUCAGUAACGGCGAGUGAAGCGGCAACAGCUCAAAUUUGAAAUCUGGCCGCAAGGUCCGAGUUGUAAUUUGCAGAGGAUGCUUUUGGCGAGGUGCCUUCCGAGUUCCCUGGAACGGGACGCCAUAGAGGGUGAGAGCCCCGUACGGUAGGACCACCGAGCCUUUGUAAAGCUCCUUCGACGAGUCGAGUAGUUUGGGAAUGCUGCUCUAAAUGGGAGGUGUACGUCUUCUAAAGCUAAAUACCGGCCAGAGACCGAUAGCGCACAAGUAGAGUGAUCGAAAGAUGAAAAGCACUUUGAAAAGAGGGUUAAAAAGUACGUGAAAUUGUUGAAAGGGAAGCAUUCAUGACCAGACUUGGGCUUGGUUGAACAUCCGGCGUUCUCGCCGGUGCACUCUGCCAGUCCAGGCCAGCAUCAGUUUGCCCCGGGGGACAAAGGCGGUGGGAAUGUGGCUCUCUCCGGGGAGUGUUAUAGCCCGCCGUGUAAUGCCCUGGGGCGGACUGAGGAACGCGCUUCGGCUCGGAUGCUGGCGUAAUGGUCAUCAAUGACCCGUCUUGAAACACGGACCAAGGAGUCGUCUUCGUAUGCGAGUGUUCGGGUGUCAAACCCCUACGCGAAAUGAAAGUGAACGUAGGUGAGAGCUUCGGCGCAUCACCGACCGAUCCUGAUGUUCUC